UCGCUCCUACCGAUUGGGUGUGCUGGUGAAGUGUUCGGAUUGGCAAUUGAAGGUGGCAACACCGUCGAUUGCCGAGAAGUUCAUUAAACCCUCCCACCUAGAGGAAGGAG
Molecule: ribosomal RNA, 110 nt
Filed under: uncultured eukaryote
Lineage: Eukaryota
Description: partial small subunit ribosomal RNA
Rfam family: Eukaryotic small subunit ribosomal RNA
Source: RNAcentral